Molecule: ribosomal RNA, 131 nt
Filed under: Delftia acidovorans
Lineage: Bacteria; Pseudomonadati; Pseudomonadota; Betaproteobacteria; Burkholderiales; Comamonadaceae
Description: partial 16S ribosomal RNA
Rfam family: Bacterial small subunit ribosomal RNA
Source: RNAcentral
CUCAUGGGAGCGGGUCUCGCCGAGUAGGUAGCCUAACCGCAAGGAGGGCGCUUACCACGGCGGGGUUCGUGACUGGGGUGAAGUCGUAACAAGGUAGCCGUAUCGGAAGGUGCGGCUGGAUCACCUCCUUU